UGUUGGACAAUUCCCAGCUCUUGGUGUCACCCCACGUUGGAUGAUUCCCGGCUCCGGUGUCCCCAGUGUUGGACAAUUCCCAGCUCUUGGUGUCACCCCACGUUGGAUGAUUCCCGGCUCCGGUGUCCCCAGUGUUGGACAAUUCCCAGCUCUUGGUGUCACCCCACGUUGGAUGAUUCCCGGCUCCGGUGUCCCCAGUGUUGGACAAUUCCCAGCUCUUGGUGUCACCCCACGUUGGAUGAUUCCCGGCUCCGGUGUCCCCAGUGUUGGACAAUUCCCAGCUCUUGGUGUCACCCCACGUUGGAUGAUUCCCGGCUCCGGUGUCCCCAGUGUUGGACAAUUCCCAGCUCUUGGUGUCACCCCACGUUGGAUGAUUCCCGGCUCCGGUGUCCCCAGUGUUGGACAAUUCCCAGCUCUUGGUGUCACCCCACGUUGGAUGAUUCCCGGCUCCGGUGUCCCCAGUGUUGGACAAUUCCCAGCUCUUGGUGUCACCCCACGUUGGAUGAUUCCCGGCUCCGGUGUCCUCAGUGUUGGACAAUUCCCAGCUCUUGGUGUCACCCCACGUUGGAUGAUUCCCGGCUCCGGUGUCCCCAGUGUUGGACAAUUCCCGGCUCCUGGUGUCACCUCAGUUCAGACGAUUCCCGGCUCCAAUGUCCCCAGAGUUGGACAAUCCACAGCUCUUGCUGCGGUCACCCCAGGGUUGGACAUUCCCCAGCUCUGAUGUCACCCCAGGUUGGAUGUUUCCCAGCUCCGGUGUCACCCCAGGUCAGACAUUUUCCAGCUCCAAUGUCCCCAACAUCAGACUUUUCUCAGCUCCGAUGUCACCCCAGGUCGGAUGUUUCCCAGCUUUUGGGGACCCCCAGGACGAACGUUUCCCAGCUCCGGAUGGCCUCAACAUGAGAUGUUUCCCUGCUCCAGGAGACCCCCAAGGUCAGACGUUUCCUGGUUUCGACGUUGCCCCGAAGUCGGACGUUUCCCAGCUCCCACGUUCCUCAACACGUGUUGGAUGUUUCCCGGCUCUGAUGUCCCCCAACAUCAGAUGUUUCCUGCCUCCGACGUCCCCCCAGGUCAGACAUUUGCUGUCGCCGCUGCUGUCCUUGUUCAUUGGCUCCGGUGUCCCCCCAGGUCGGACAGUUGUUGGCUCUGACAUCCGCUUCGGUGUUGGUCAGCUCCUAUGUCCCCCACGUUGGACGUUUGCCGGCGCCGGCGCUUUUGGUGUUUGCCAGUUCCAGUAUCGGCUGCUUUUGGUGUCCACCAGCCCCAAUAUCUGCCACGUUUGGUGUCCACCAGCUCCAGGAGCCGCAGGUCGGACACUUCCCAUCCCCACCACCCCAUUUGCCGUCCAUCCGUCCCGUUUUCCAUCUCUGUCUGCCAACUUCAACGUCUCCCAGCUUAGACAUUUCCCAGUGCCGAAAAUCACCAGUUUUGGUGCUCGCUUGCUCUGAUACCUGCUGGUUUUGGUGUCUGCUGGCUCCGGCCCCCACAGGUCGGACAUUUCGUGGCUCUCAACUUCCCCCAGGUCAGACAUUUUCCAGUGCCAAAACCCACCAGUUUUGGGGUCCACCAGCUCCAACAUCUACCAGUUUCAGCGUCCACCAGCUCCAACACCCGCAGGUCGGACAUUUCCCAUCUCCACCGCCCGCCGGCUUCAACGUUCUCCAGGUCGGACGUUUUCCAGUGCUGAAAAUCGCCAAUUUUGGUGUUUGACAGCACCAACGUCUGCUGGUUUUGGUGCCCACCAGCUCCAACACCCGCAGGUCGGACGUUUCCCCGUCUCCGCUGCCCACUGGCUUCCAACGUCCCCCACGUCAGGCACUUUCCAGUGCCGAAAACCACCGCUUUUGGUGUUUGCUGGCUCCAUCUCCUACAGGUUGGACGUCCCACAGCUUGGACGUCCACUGGCUUCAACGUCCCCCAGGUCCAACAAUUCUCCCAUAAUCAGAGCCCUAUGGGUGCUCCUGCCCCAUAACCAGACACCUAUGGGUUCUUCCAGCCCAUAACUGGACCCUUACGGGUGCUCCCACCCCAUAACU
Long non-coding RNA from Struthio camelus australis, 2033 nucleotides. The record is from Ensembl. NCBI's taxonomy places the organism in Eukaryota, Metazoa, Chordata, Aves, Struthioniformes, Struthionidae.